Nicotiana attenuata is the source of this 70-nucleotide non-coding RNA. NCBI's taxonomy places the organism in Eukaryota, Viridiplantae, Streptophyta, Magnoliopsida, Solanales, Solanaceae. The record is from Rfam.
GCACCAGUGGUCUAGUGGUAGAAUAGUACCCUGCUACGGUACAGACCCGGGUUUGAUUCCGGCUGGUGCA